AGCGAACGCUGGCGGCAGGCCUAACACAUGCAAGUCGAACGAACCUUUCGGGGUUAUUGGCGGACGGGUGUGUAACACGUGGGAACGUGCCCUUAGGUUCGGAAUACCUCAGGGAAACUUGUGCUAAUACCGAAUGUGCCCUUCGGGGGAAAGAUUAAUCGCCUUUAGAGCGGCCCGCGUCUGAUUAGCUAGUUGGUUGAGGUAAUGGCACACCAACGCGACGAUCAGUAGCUGGUCUGAGAGGAUGAUCCGCCACAUUGGGACUGGGACACGGCCCAAACUCCUACGGGAGGCAGCAGUGGGGAAUCUUGCGAAAUGGGCGAAAGCCUGACGCAGCCAUGCCGGGUGAAUGAUGAAGGUCUUAGGAUUGUAAAAUUCUUUCAACGGUGACGAUAAUGACGGUACCCGGAGAAGAAGCCCCGGCUAACUUCGUG
RNAcentral lists this ribosomal RNA (434 nucleotides) under uncultured bacterium. RNAcentral describes it as "partial 16S ribosomal RNA". It matches the Rfam family "Bacterial small subunit ribosomal RNA", at positions 29 to 507 of the family's 1533-position model. The record is from RNAcentral.